GACAGAGGGUGCAACCGUUGUUCGGAAUUACUGGGCGUAAAGCGCGUGUAGGCGGUCUUAUAAGUCGGGUGUGAAAGCCCCGGGCUCAACCCGGGAAGUGCACUCGAAACUGUGAGGCUAGAGUAUCGGAGAGGUUGGUGGAAUUCUCGGUGUAGAGGUGAAAUUCGUAGAUAUCGAGAGGAACACCGGUGGCGAAGGCGGCCAACUGGACGAAUACUGACGCUGAGACUCGAAAGCGUGGGGAGCAAACAGG
This 253-nucleotide ribosomal RNA is filed under the name uncultured bacterium. RNAcentral's name for it is "partial 16S ribosomal RNA". It matches the Rfam family "Bacterial small subunit ribosomal RNA", at positions 524 to 776 of the family's 1533-position model. The record is from RNAcentral.